GACGAACGCUGGCGGCGUGCUUAACACAUGCAAGUCGAGCGGUAAGGCCCUUUCGGGGGUACACGAGCGGCGAACGGGUGAGUAACACGUGGGUGACCUGCCCUCAGCUCUGGGAUAAGCCUGGGAAACCGGGUCUAAUACCGGAUAUGACUCCAUGACGCAUGUUGUGGGGUGGAAAGCCUUGUGCGGCUGAGGAUGGGCCCGCGGCCUAUCAGCUUGUUGGUGGGGNGAUGGCCUACCAAGGCGACGACGGGUAGCCGGCCUGAGAGGGCGACCGGCCACACUGGACUGAGACACGGCCCAGACUCCUACGGGAGGCAGCAGUGGGGAAUCUUGCGCAAUGGGCGAAAGCCUGACGCAGCGACGCCGCGUGAGGGAUGACGGCC
This 386-nucleotide ribosomal RNA is filed under the name uncultured bacterium. RNAcentral describes it as "bacterial SSU rRNA". It matches the Rfam family "Bacterial small subunit ribosomal RNA", at positions 28 to 416 of the family's 1533-position model. The record is from RNAcentral.